Molecule: ribosomal RNA, 253 nt
Filed under: uncultured bacterium
Lineage: Bacteria
Description: partial 16S ribosomal RNA
Rfam family: Bacterial small subunit ribosomal RNA
Source: RNAcentral
UACGGGGGGGGCAAGCGUUGUUCGGAAUUACUGGGCGUAAAGGGCUCGUAGGCGGCCAACUAAGUCCGACGUGAAAUCCCCAGGCUUAACCUGGGAACUGCGUCGGAUACUGGAUGGCUUGAAUCCGGGAGAGGGAUGCGGAAUUCCAGGUGUAGCGGUGAAAUGCGUAGAUAUCGGAAGGAACGCCGAUGGCGAAGGCAAUCCCCUGGACCUGUACUGACGCUCAUGCACGAAAGCGUGGGGAGCAAACAGG